RNAcentral lists this ribosomal RNA (457 nucleotides) under uncultured bacterium. RNAcentral's name for it is "SSU rRNA". It matches the Rfam family "Bacterial small subunit ribosomal RNA", at positions 26 to 518 of the family's 1533-position model. The record is from RNAcentral.
AGAAUCAACGCUGGCGGCGUGCCUAACACAUGCAAGUCGAACGAGAAAGGGUAGCAAUACCUGAGUAAAGUGGCGCACGGGUGAGUAACACGUGACUAACCUACCUUUUAGUGGGGGAUAACCUAGGGAAACCUGGGCUAAUACCGCAUAAUACCUACGGGUCAAAGCAGCAAUGCACUGAAUGAGGGGGUCGCGGUCGAUUAGUUAGUUGGCAGGGUAAUGGCCUACCAAGACUGUGAUCGAUAUCCGGCCUGAGAGGGCGCACGGACACACUGGAACUGAAACACGGUCCAGACUCCUACGGGAGGCAGCAGUGGGAAUUUUGCGCAAUGGGGAAACCCUGACGCAGCAACGCCGCGUGGAGGAUGAAGUCCCUUGGGACGUAAACUCCUUUCGAUCGGGACGAUAAUGACGGUACCGGAAGAAGAAGCCCGGCUAACUUCGCGCCAGCAGCCGC